Molecule: ribosomal RNA, 468 nt
Filed under: uncultured bacterium
Lineage: Bacteria
Description: partial 16S ribosomal RNA
Rfam family: Bacterial small subunit ribosomal RNA
Source: RNAcentral
GACGAACGCUGGCGGCGUGCUUAACACAUGCAAGUCGAACGGAAAGGCCCUGCUUUUGUGGGGUGCUCGAGUGGCGAACGGGUGAGUAACACGUGAGUAACCUGCCCUUGACUUUGGGAUAACUUCAGGAAACUGGGGCUAAUACCGGAUAGGAGCUCCUGCUGCAUGGUGGGGGUUGGAAAGUUUCGGCGGUUGGGGAUGGACUCGCGGCUUAUCAGCUUGUUGGUGGGGUAGUGGCUUACCAAGGCUUUGACGGGUAGCCGGCCUGAGAGGGUGACCGGCCACAUUGGGACUGAGAUACGGCACAGACUACUACGGGAGGCAGGAGUGGGGAAUAUUGCACAAUGGGCGGAAGCCUGAUGCAGCAACGCAGCGUGCGGGAUGACGGCCUGCGGGUUGUAAACCGCUUUCGCCUGUGACGAAGCGUGAGUGACGGUAAUGGGUAAAGAAGCACCGGCUAACUACGUG